This 270-nucleotide long non-coding RNA is filed under the name Physcomitrium patens. RNAcentral describes it as "long non-coding RNA (PPAT_LNC004467)". The record is from RNAcentral. Lineage: Eukaryota; Viridiplantae; Streptophyta; Bryopsida; Funariales; Funariaceae.
GAAUUGAAAUAAAUGCUUCAAAUAUUAUUUAUUAAAUUUCAAAAUUUAUUGUAAGAUUAUUAGAAAUUUAUUUGAGAUUUAAAAAAUUGAUUAGGAUUAGGUUUUGAUUAGGAUUAGGAUUUGGUUAGAAUUAGGAUUUGCUUAGAAUUAGGAUUUGAUUAGAGUUAGAAUUUGGUCUGAUUUAGGAUUUAAUUAGAGUUAGAAUUUGGUUUGAUUUAGGAUUUGAUUUGGAUUUCAUUAGGAUUUCUUCAGGAUUCUUUUAAGAUUCUU